CAACUUUCAACAACGGAUCUCUUGGUUCUGGCAUCGAUGAAGAACGCAGCGAAAUGCGAUAAGUAGUGUGAAUUGCAGAAUUCAGUGAAUCAUCGAAUCUUUGAACGCACAUUGCGCCCCUUGGUAUUCCAUGGGGCAUGCCUGUUCGAGCGUCAUUUGUACC
Molecule: ribosomal RNA, 163 nt
Filed under: uncultured fungus
Lineage: Eukaryota; Fungi
Description: 5.8S ribosomal RNA
Rfam family: 5.8S ribosomal RNA
About the family: 5.8S ribosomal RNA (5.8S rRNA) is a component of the large subunit of the eukaryotic ribosome.
Source: RNAcentral